RNAcentral lists this ribosomal RNA (497 nucleotides) under uncultured bacterium. RNAcentral's name for it is "partial 16S ribosomal RNA". It matches the Rfam family "Bacterial small subunit ribosomal RNA", at positions 28 to 507 of the family's 1533-position model. The record is from RNAcentral.
GACGAACGCUGGCGGCGUGCCUAAUACAUGCAAGUUGAGCGCUGAAGGUUGGUGCUUGUACCUACUAGAUUAGCAGCGAACGGGUGAGUAACGCGUGGGGAAUCUGCCUUUUAGCGGGGGACAACAUUUGGAAACGAAUGCUAAUACCGCAUAAAAUCUUUAAACACAUGUUUUAAGUUUGAAAGAUGCAUUUGCUUCACUCAAUGCUGAUCCCGCGUUGUCUUAACUAAUUGGUGAGGUAAAGGCUCUCCAAGGCGAUGAUACAUAGCCGACCUUGGAGGGGGGACGGCCCCCAUGGGAAUGAGACCACGCCCAAACCCCUACGGGAGGCAGCCGGAGGGAAUCUUCGGCAAUUGACGAAAGUCCGACCGAGCCACGCCGCGUGGGUGAAGAAGGGUCUCGGAUCGUAAAACCCUGUUGGUAGGGAAGAACGUUGGUUAGAGUGGAAAGCGCACCACGUGACGGUACCUAAUCAGAAAGGGACGGCUAACUACGUG